GAUGAACGCUGGCGGCGUGCCUAAUACAUGCAAGUCGAGCGAACGGACGAGAAGCUUGCUUCUCUGAUGUUAGCGGCGGACGGGUGUGUAACACGUGUAUAACCUACCUAUAAGACUGGGAUAACUUCGGGAAACCGGAUCUAAUACCGGAUAAUAUUUUGAUCCGCAUGGUUCAAAAGUGAAAGACGGUCUUGCUGUCACUUCUAGAUGGAUCCGCGCUGCUUGAGCUAGUUGGUAAGGUAACGGCUUACCAAGGCAACGAUGCAUAGCCGACCUGAGAGGGUGGUCGCCGGCACGAGAACUGAGACGGGCACAAGACUCCUGAGGUAGGCACCAGUAGGGAACCUGCCGCAACGGUGGAAAGCAUGACGGAGCAACGCGGCGUCAGUGAUGAAGAUCUUCGGAUCGUGAAACUCUGUUAUUAGGGGAGAACAUAUGUGUAAUUAACUGUGCACAUCUUGACGGUACCGAGUCAGAAAGCCACGGCUAACUACGUG
This 497-nucleotide ribosomal RNA is filed under the name uncultured bacterium. RNAcentral's name for it is "partial 16S ribosomal RNA". It matches the Rfam family "Bacterial small subunit ribosomal RNA", at positions 28 to 507 of the family's 1533-position model. The record is from RNAcentral.